RNAcentral lists this ribosomal RNA (445 nucleotides) under uncultured bacterium. RNAcentral's name for it is "partial 16S ribosomal RNA". It matches the Rfam family "Bacterial small subunit ribosomal RNA", at positions 354 to 796 of the family's 1533-position model. The record is from RNAcentral.
GUGAGGAAUAUUGGUCAAUGGACGAGAGUCUGAACCAGCCAAGUAGCGUGAAGGAUGACUGCCCUAUGGGUUGUAAACUUCUUUUAUAAGGGAAUAAAGUGAGGGACGUGUCCCUUUUUGUAUGUACCUUAUGAAUAAGGAUCGGCUAACUCCGUGCCAGCAGCCGCGGUAAUACGGAGGAUCCAAGCGUUAUCCGGAUUUAUUGGGUUUAAAGGGAGCGUAGGUUGACAUAUAAGUCAGCUGUGAAAGUUUACGGCUCAACCGUGAAAUUGCAGUUGAUACUGUAUGUCUUGAGUGUACAAGAGGUGGGCGGAAUUCGUGGUGUAGCGGUGAAAUGCUUAGAUAUCACGAAGAACUCCAAUUGCGAAGGCAGCUCACUGGGGUACAACUGACACUGAGGCUCGAAAGUGUGGGUAUCAAACAGGAUUAGAAACCCCUGUAGUCC